CCAAACUUGGUCAUUUAGAGGAAGUAAAAGUCGUAACAAGGUUUCCGUAGGUGAACCUGCGGAAGGAUCAUUAAUGAAUUUAUUGACAGGGUUGUCGCUGGCCUUCACGGGCAUGUGCACGCCUUGCUUCAAUUCAUCCAUUUCAUACCUCUGUGCACUUUUCAUAGGUUGGCUUAUUGAGUUGCUGUUGAGUGACUCCUUGGGCCUCUCUAUGCAUUUUAUUACAAACACAAUUGGUUCAGAAUGUUUUUACUGCGAAUGUAACGCAUAUAAAUACAACUUUCAGCAACGGAUCUCUUGGCUCUCGCAUCGAUGAAGAACGCAGC
Molecule: unclassified non-coding RNA, 326 nt
Filed under: uncultured fungus
Lineage: Eukaryota; Fungi
Description: partial contains small subunit ribosomal RNA, internal transcribed spacer 1, and 5.8S ribosomal RNA
Rfam family: Eukaryotic small subunit ribosomal RNA (bases 1-73)
Source: RNAcentral